This 1204-nucleotide long non-coding RNA is filed under the name Homo sapiens (human). Its description in RNAcentral is "HSALNT0093292". Lineage: Eukaryota; Metazoa; Chordata; Mammalia; Primates; Hominidae. The record is from RNAcentral.
CUUAUGCUGGGCAACCAUUAAUCUGUUCUCCAUAAAAAUUUGUAAUUUUAAAAAUGUUUUAUAAACUGAUUUUUAUGUGAUCUGUAAUGUUUGUGAGGGUAUCUCUGUAUUAGUUUGCUAGGGCUGCCAUAAAAAAAUAGUGGGUAGCUUAAAUAACCGAAAUUUCUUUUCUCACAGUUCUGGAGGCUGGAAGUCCAAGAUCAAGGUGCUAUCAGGGUUGGUUUCGGCUGUGGCCUCUCUUCCUGGCUUGUAGACAGCUAUCUUCUCGCAGUGUCCUCACGUGGCCUCUUUGUGUGAAGUUAAAAAUGAACAGAUCAACCUUUUACUCUUCUCUGAAAAAUAUAGUGAAAUUAAUAAUCAAGAACGAUUUUCUGAAAUGAAAACAUCCGAACAGCAUACUGCAAAGACAUUCAGGGGAAAAUAAAAUAGGUUUUGGCAAACGUCUAAUGACACAGAGCCACCAUUGCCAAUUUCACCACUGUCUUUCACCAAGUUGAUUCAUUUUGAACUGGCUCCAGCAAUCUACUCAGAGUUGACCUCAGAGCAAAAAAUUGAAGAAGCUGCUAAAGAAUGUGCUUGACUAAAACAAGGCAAUAAGCAAAAGGAAGUCAUAGCAUCCAGAAAAUGGGAUCCAUCAUGCGCACAAAGAAAAGGUGAAGAAAAUUUCCAGGAUGUUCAGAACCCACCAAAAACGAAAGAUUCUGGUCCAGAUCAGAAGAGAGGGAAACACUCUGAAAAAGUCCCUCAAAUACAAAAUUAAACAGAGUUUAAAUGAUGUGCUUGACCACAAUAAAAGGCUUCUUGCUCUGUAAGAUUUCUGGAAUUAAUUAGUGAUAAGCAAAGAUAAAUAUAAGCAAAUCAUCACAACAGAGUGAACACAUUCCAGUAGACCACAUGGAUGAGCUUUGGAAAAUACAGAUAUACGCAUAAUGUAAUCCCUUAAUUUCUGGGAGGCUGGAGGGAGGGAAAGUUUGAGAAGGUAAAAUGUGUGUGUUAAGAGUGGGAGUGGGUAAUAUGGUUAGGCUUUGUGUUCCCACACAAAUCUCAUCUGGAAUUGUAAUCCCCAUAAUCCCCACUUAUCAAGGGAGAAACCAGGUGGAGAUAACUGAAUCAUUGGAGGCAGUUUCCCCCAUGCUAUUCCUCUGAUAGUGAAUUCUCAUGAGAUCCAAUGAUUUUAUAACGGACUCUUCCCCCUUCACUCAGC